RNAcentral lists this long non-coding RNA (225 nucleotides) under Lathyrus oleraceus (garden pea). Its description in RNAcentral is "Pisum sativum (pea) long non-coding RNA (PSAT_LNC004365)". The record is from RNAcentral. Lineage: Eukaryota; Viridiplantae; Streptophyta; Magnoliopsida; Fabales; Fabaceae.
AUGAAUGUAUACAAAGUGGUUAUCUCGUUUAGUGUUUUGAAAGUAGUUUAGAAAAAUAUAACUCGGCAAUGAUCCUAGUACGGAUGUAUGCUAAGUGGUGAUUUUCCAAAAGGAUGUUUGAAAGGUGUGAGGUGUGAAAAGUAUUUUUUAGGUUAUGAAUGAGCAAUUAAGGUUAUACCUGUCCGAGGUCUUUCCGGGCAUUUCCUAUCCUUAUGAGGGUAAAAC